AUUGAACGCUGGCGGCGUGCCUAACACAUGCAAGUCGAGCGGUAACAGGUGUAGCAAUACAUGCUGACGAGCGGCGAACGGGUGAGUAAUGCUUCGGAAUCUACCCAAUGGUGGGAAUAACCAGCCGAAAGGUUGGCUAAUACCGCAUACGUCCCACGGGAGAAAGCAGGGGAUCGCAAGACCUUGCGCCAAUGGAUGAGCCGAACUCGGAUUAGCUAGUUGGAGGGUAACGGCCUACCAAGGCGACGAUCCGUAGCUGGUCUGAGAGGACGACCAGCCACACUGGGACUGAGACACGGCCCAGACUCCUACGGGA
This 316-nucleotide ribosomal RNA is filed under the name uncultured bacterium. RNAcentral's name for it is "bacterial SSU rRNA". It matches the Rfam family "Bacterial small subunit ribosomal RNA", at positions 30 to 346 of the family's 1533-position model. The record is from RNAcentral.